UAGGGAAUCUUCUGCAAUGGACGAAAGUCUGACCGAGCAACGCCGCGUGAGUGAAGAAGGUUUUCGGAUCGUAAAACUCUGUUGUUAGAGAAGAACAAGGACGUUAGUAACUGAACGUCCCCUGACGGUAUCUAACCAGAAAGCCACGGCUAACUACGUGCCAGCAGCCGCGGUAAUACGUAGGUGGCAAGCGUUGUCCGGAUUUAUUGGGCGUAAAGCGAGCGCAGGCGGUUUCUUAAGUCUGAUGUGAAAGCCCCCGGCUCAACCGGGGAGGGUGAUUGGAAACUGGGAGGCUUGAGUGCAGAAGAGGAGAGUGGAAUUCCAUGUGUAGCGGUGAAAUGCGUAGAUAUGUGGAGGAACACCAGUGGCGAAGGCGGCUCUCUGGUCUGUAACUGACGAUGAGGCUCGAAAGCGUGGGGAGCAAACAGG
This 429-nucleotide ribosomal RNA is filed under the name Gemmatimonadota bacterium. Its description in RNAcentral is "Gemmatimonadetes bacterium partial 16S ribosomal RNA". It matches the Rfam family "Bacterial small subunit ribosomal RNA", at positions 355 to 776 of the family's 1533-position model. The record is from RNAcentral. Lineage: Bacteria; Pseudomonadati; Gemmatimonadota.